UAUAGUUUUAACUUCAGAAAUGUGCAAACAGAAUCGCUGUUUGACAUUUAAUAAUCAUAUUUACUGUAUUUUAAAUGUGUAUAAUGUAAAAUAUCUCUGCAUGGAUCUAAUACUAAUUAAUGACGACAGCUAACAACUGUGCUGUUAUGUUGACAUGUUCUACGAGGACUGACGGGUCAUACAGAGAUACUAAUGGAAACUACAACUGCAAACGCGACACAAAUCAUUCAGCUGUAAACUGUCUGCGUUGAAUGUCAGCGAACUUUCAUUAA
Gigantopelta aegis is the source of this 272-nucleotide long non-coding RNA. RefSeq lists it as uncharacterized. The record is from RefSeq and is a predicted model, not a curated record. Lineage: Eukaryota; Metazoa; Mollusca; Gastropoda; Neomphalida; Peltospiridae. The transcript is spliced from 2 exons.